GUCGGAGUGGCGGAACUGGUACACGCGCUGGGCUUAGGACCCAGUGGAGAAAUCCAUGAGAGUUCGAAUCUCUCCUCCGACA
RNAcentral lists this transfer RNA (82 nucleotides) under Candidatus Nealsonbacteria bacterium CG_4_10_14_0_8_um_filter_37_14. RNAcentral's name for it is "tRNA-Leu". It matches the Rfam family "tRNA". From Rfam's summary of the family: Transfer RNA (tRNA) molecules are approximately 80 nucleotides in length. Their secondary structure includes four short double-helical elements and three loops (D, anti-codon, and T loops). RNAcentral also lists the same sequence under 1 other name. The record is from RNAcentral. Lineage: Bacteria; Candidatus Nealsoniibacteriota.